UACGGAGGGUGCAAGCGUUAUCCGGAUUUACUGGGUUUAAAGGGUGCGUAGGUGGGUAGGUAAGUCAGUGGUGAAAUCUUCAAGCUUAACUUGGAAACUGCCAUUGAUACUAUUUAUCUUGAAUACUUUGGAGGUAAGCGGAAUAUGUCAUGUAGCGGUGAAAUGCUUAGAUAUGACAUAGAACACCAAGUGCGAAGGCAGCGUACUACACAGUUAUUGACACUGAGGCACGAAAGCGUGGGGAUCAAACAGG
This 253-nucleotide ribosomal RNA is filed under the name uncultured bacterium. RNAcentral describes it as "partial 16S ribosomal RNA". It matches the Rfam family "Bacterial small subunit ribosomal RNA", at positions 524 to 776 of the family's 1533-position model. The record is from RNAcentral.